GGUGAACGCUGGCGGCGUGCCUAAGACAUGCAAGUCGAGCGGGGCAGGUUUAUACCUGUUCAGCGGCGGACGGGUGAGUAACGCGUGGGUGACCUACCCGGAAGAGGCGGACAACCUGGGGAAACCCAGGCUAAUCCGCCAUGUGGUCCUGUCCUGUGGGGCAGGACUAAAGGGGCGACCCGCUUCCGGAUGGGCCCGCGUCCCAUCAGCUAGUUGGUGGGGUAAAGGCCCACCAAGGCGACGACGGGUAGCCGGUCUGAGAGGAUGGCCGGCCACAGGGGCACUGAGACACGGGCCCCACUCCUACGGGAGGCCGCAGUUAGGAAUCUUCCGCAAUGGACGGAAGUCUGACGGAGCGACGCCGCUUGGAGGAGGAAGCCCUUCGGGGUGUAAACUCCUGAACUGGGGACGAAAGCCCCGUGUAGGGGGAUGACGGUACCCAGGUAAUAGCGCCGGCCAACUCCGUG
RNAcentral lists this ribosomal RNA (467 nucleotides) under uncultured bacterium. Its description in RNAcentral is "partial 16S ribosomal RNA". It matches the Rfam family "Bacterial small subunit ribosomal RNA", at positions 28 to 507 of the family's 1533-position model. The record is from RNAcentral.